GACUAGAACUCCUCUAAUUAGGUGACAUCUAAUCUAAAUAGUUUAGGCUCCAAAUCAGAUUUGGAUUUUAAUCUAUUUGGGUCCAAUCAAUUCUUAAUAUGAUUAGGAUUGGUUAGAGUUUAAAUUGGUUUAAAUCAGCCACCUAAUGAAGAGUCCCAUGAAAUUGAAACUCUUCCUUUCCAUGCACCAACCAAGGUCCCAUGCC
This 205-nucleotide long non-coding RNA is filed under the name Elaeis guineensis (African oil palm). RNAcentral's name for it is "long non-coding RNA (EGUI_LNC060568)". Lineage: Eukaryota; Viridiplantae; Streptophyta; Magnoliopsida; Arecales; Arecaceae. The record is from RNAcentral.